Molecule: non-coding RNA, 5862 nt
Organism: Cyanistes caeruleus (blue tit)
Lineage: Eukaryota; Metazoa; Chordata; Aves; Passeriformes; Paridae
Source: RefSeq, a predicted model, not a curated record
CAACCCAAACCAUUCUGUGUUUCUGUGAUGAAUCUGAGCUGCCAGUGGUGUCCUGGCUCAGGAGAUGAGAUAGCACUGGCUGGAAUGAUGAAGCAGAGGGACAGCAGGGAAAGUUUAGGAAGGAAAAGACACUCCUUAGCUUUUGUUUGGCUUAAUCUUGAAAUGAUUCCCCAUGUAGGAGAAAACAUCAGCUGCACGGGAAAAGCUGAGUAACUGGUACAAAUCUGGUUACUUGCAAGUGACUCCAGUGAUGAAAAAGCCAUUUGUGCAGGAGCAAAAGUCCCAAAACAGCUCCCCAUGGGACUGUACCAGCGAGGGGAGCUGGGAGAAGGAAGUUGAAGGUGUUCUUCAGGAAGCUUUGCAGUGCAAACCCCAGCACUCAGUCCUGUGCUGCUCACAGAGCUUCCAGGGAUAUCCGUGUGGGCACAGAGAACAUCCUGAGCUUUUAACUCCUAAUGCUUCCAGUUUCUGCUCCCUCUCUGGUUCUGGGGCUGCAGGCUUCCCUCUGACAGAUGUAGCCAUGGGAUUGGCUCCAGGACAGCUCCCUGCCCUUAAUUCCCCUGGCUCACUGUGCUAAUUCUGCUCUGUUAAUCACCUUAGAGUCAAUUUAAGGUGCUCCACACAAAUGGACUCUCAAUGUGGGUCAGAGCUCAGUGACACCUUUGCUCUUUCUGCAUCAGCACCUGGACAGAGGUGACUUGUCCCCUGCUUCUGGUGACCUUCCCCUUUGUCAGGCCACCAGUGCCAUCUGGCAAAACCAGGAGGAAGGAGGGAAGCACCAAAUCCAACUUUGCAUCAAGCUGAGGGCAGUAAUAAAUGAUGUCUCAGGAGAGCUGAAGCAGUGUCUGAUGGUCCCAUGGUGCUUUUGGGCAAGGGAAGUUUUGCCAAAAUCUUGGUAACUCGGGCAGACAUUAGUCCUUAAUAGGAGAGGGAAACUGGGCUCCAAAUCUGAUUCAUUUCACACUGGAAUGAUGUGUAUGUGGAGAAGACCUCGUGGGCUGUGUUUGAGUAGUGCCUGAACCAACUGAGUUGGGAGAACCCAAAAAACAUUUUUCUGUUGUCAGCAGUUGGGCUUUGCUACUUUCUCCUACUGUGCUGGUUUUAAAAGCCUGGCUUUACACUUUCAAGAUACACAAAUGAAACCCUCUCUCUUACUGCAGCACUUGGGACUCAUCUCCACAUUCAGGAGAGCUUCUCUGAAACAAUUUACUAAAUAUUUCAGUAGAGGCCUUAAAAACUGUUCCUCUCUGCUUAGAAAGACAUUGCAGAAAGGAAAUUGCUUCUCAAUCUCUGUCCUCUUUUGUGUUUGAAUCAUUUGUGCAUCAUGGGGCAGAGCAGGCUCAACAUCUCUUUGCUUUUAAUUCUUCAUUUUAUUUUAUGCAGACAGAAAUGUUCCCAGGGAAUGAUUUGGGCUUCAUGGGAUCUCCAAAGAUCAUCCAGCUCCUGACUUGCCCAGAAGCUCCUGCUGCACCAUUCAAGCCCAGACAUUCUGUUACUGUGGAGUUGUUGAUUUUCUGCAGGGUGGAAGGAGUCAUGGUGCUGGAAUGCUGCUGGAACACUGUGGCUUCACCAUUCCUUGCCCUCUAGUACUGUUGGAUUCCGUUUCACUUGCAUUCCUUCACCAAAUCAGGUGUUCAAUUUUAGCACUCGGUGAGCUCCAGCAGGAUGGGGAGACAAGAAUGAGCAAGACAUGGAAUUGGAACUGUCAGCAACACUUCGAUUUCUGUUACACUUUAUUUCCCCCUCCCCAGGUGAUGGUGAGGCACAGGCUGUGCUGCUUUGCUCCAUUUGGGGUAGUGAGUGUGGCCUAAAGGUUUGUGGACUUGCAAAGGGUGAUAAUUUCAACUGUGAGUGAUUUACCUGGAGCUGCCAGACCAGGAACUGGCUCCAGCUGAGAAACCAACAGCAUCUUCGGCUCAGAACCCAAACUUCCAGGGUUUAUCAGGCAUCUGUAAGCAAUAAGGGAACAAAACACACAGAGAAAGUGCAAUAUGGCUCCUAUUGCUUAAUGAAGGCCAGGCUAAUUGAGGGCAAUUAAAUUAAUCAGGGAAGUGAACCAGCCACACCCAUUCGGAGGAGGAUGCGUGCAAUCACAGGCAAUUACUGUAAUUAAUCUUCUCAUUGUUGUCCCCACAGCCAGCACCUGGCCAAGAAGUUGAGGAGUUACCUAACUGUGCUCAGGAGGAUGCUGCAGGCGAAGGUGGUGCUUCCAGUUUUUUCCUACAGAGUUUUAAAAACCUGUUGCAAGAAGGAAUCUCACAAAUGUGGCUGUCCCAUCCCUGGAAGUGUUCAAGGCCAGCUUGGAGGGGAUAAAAAUCUGAACCAUGAAGCUGUUUCUCCCUACACUGAUGCCACACAAAAAAUUAUGUUGUAAAGAAGUUUCCUGAAACCUCUAGAACUGGGCCCCUGCAGACUAAGUAAAACGUGAUUUUUUAAAAAAGCAAUAUGGUUAAUUGAUGAAGCUAUCGAUUUGUAACAGUUAAUUUUUGUAUAAGAGCCCCCUGUGUGUGCAUUAGGGGAACCUGUUUAUUCUGGGAUGAAAUGAAAGCCCUAAAAAUGGGGUCAUUUUCUGCUUUGAGUUCUGUGACACCUCGUGGCACCUGCUUUUGGACAGGAUGAGUUUGCCUAUGGAGCAAUUCCUGUGGACUCUGGCAAGCUGCAGUGUUGUUUUUAGGGGCCAGAUGAGGAUAAUCUGGCCAUCACUUUGUCUCCUGACCUGGGACAGCCUAUGAGUUUCCUUUGUCUGCCCCUCCACCUGAUGGGACAGGUUUCAAUGGGUUCAUUUCACAGAACCAGUGCUGUUAAGGCCUCUGGGCUGACCUCAAGACAGUUUUGACGUAAAAUCCACUGCUGGUGUUGACCCAAAACCCACCAAAGCGUUGGAUGGAGCUGUGGGUGGAAAAACUGCUGCAAGGUGCUCACCAUACCCCAGGAUGAGCCAUGAAUGGGCACAAAAUAGAGUUUAAGAAAACUGUAAAAUCUUUCUAUGAAAUUUCCACAACAAUUUUGUUCUCAGCUGCCUCCUCAGACAGUCUGGAGGCCAAGUUUGAGUGGCCAGACAAAUCUUUGACAGGAAAAUCUCCUUUCCUUUGGUGUUUGUUCCCAGGAUGAGGGGAAGCAGCAGCAUUGAUCCUGAGAUUGUGAAGGCUAAUAAAAAAAUCCAUAUGUGCUAUUAAAGUCAAUGGUAUCAAAGUAAUUCCACUAAUUUGACCUGGUGAAGUGGAAAAAGGACUUUCUGCACUCCCUGGCUAGUGUUCCUCCAUAAAAAGCCCCAGGAAAAACAGGGAAAGCCAUAAUAAGCAAGUCUGAUCUCAGGUCCUUUUUUAGUUUGCUUCCACAGUGUUCUUAGCCAAGUUCAGUGUUCUUGAACUGCUAAAGAAAACCAGUUACAAGGCUAAAUCUGAAACUGGAGCUUGAAUCACCCUUUAUGUCAAAUCCUAACCAGACUUUUUACAAUUCUGAAUUUGAACAUGUUUUCAAUCUCAGAACAAAACCUGGAUGGUGAUAUUCCCACCCCAGAAAUCUCCUGACUUGCUUAGUUGGCAUCUCCAUGCCACCUGCUUGUGGGUUUGUAUGGCAGAAGGCACUCCCAAGAGGGAACAAAUUCCCUGAGCACCAGUGACUCUGGAAAAAAACACAUAAAGCACUUGAAUGGUCAACAAAUAGUUAUGAUUUUAUUGAGUGGUAGAAUACACAAGGAAAAAAAAUUUGCUCUUUUUGAGUUACUGGAUUUUUUAAUAUUUUUCUUUUUUUUUGAGAAUUAAAAAAAAACAAAACAGGAGCUGUCCUAUAAGGAAUGUGGGUUUGCUGUUUUAACAUUGGACAUGUUAGAGCUUUGUUAUGAGGGCUUUCUUGGGAAGGCAUCUACUAAGGAAAAGGAUGUCUUUGCCCUGAUGAAGAUCUCAAAUCCAGCCAGAGAGCUCAGCCCCUGCAGCAGGAAAUGAUGGUGCCUGGACAUGGGUCCUGACCAGCCUCCCAAGCCCUAUUUCAGUGAGCAGUUGGGAUCUAGACUGCUCGAAUCCAGGCCUGGCGGGAAACCUCCAAGAAAAGUCCCCUAAUUCCCACUGUGCUUCUCCCUGAAAACUGAGGGCAAUGAGUCCCUGCUCCCAGAGCUGUGGGAGGUGGGGGCUUAGUGUGAGAUCCAGUUGACUGUGAGGUGCCUGUGGAUGUCACCAGUCCCUGCCACCCCCUCUGAGCCCCAGCUCUGCCCUGUCCUGCCCUGUGUCUCCAGCACAGCCCUCCAGGCAGAUUCCAGCCAUGCUGGGAGAUCGUGGGACACCUGAUUCCAAAUUUCUCCUCCUUCAGCCCUCUGUAUUUUUUCUCCAACUCUCAUACAUCCCUCCCCAACCCCUGACUUUCCCAAACUUCUCCCAUCUCUCAUUCUCCCCACAAAACACACCCAGAGACUUCUCUUUGCUGCAGUUUGUGCUUUUCUCUGACAUCCUCAAUCAUCCUGGUCCUCCAGCUCCUACUCCAGUCCCCCGCAGUGAAUGGGGAGAAAAAAUCCAGUCCUUCCCUGGCUGUUGUUUGAUUCUCUGCCCUGAAACCACCUCUGUGUUUCCAGCUCCCCAUUUCCAUGUGGUGUAGCUGGAUUCAAUAAACCCUGGCAGGCUUCCAGCACCCCUUACUGGCUUAGGUUUUUUUUCAUGCUUGUCUCAUUACAGCACAAAUGAAUGACCUUUAUCAAGAGAGAAAGUGGACAAGAUUUCACCUCAUUAUUUUCAUAUAAACUGGUUAGUUAAGAGUCCUCAGAAAGCUGGGCAAAGCUGUGCUGAAAAUUCUGUGUUUUGGUCAUUAUGAUGGCAGAUUUUAACCUGCUCGUCUCUCACUCACUGCUGCCUUGGAGACAAAGCUCAUGGGAAGUUUAUAUCCAUCUACAUUUCCAGUCUUACUGAAACUUCUGGAAUAUCUCCAGAUAAAAGUAAUUUUACUUGGAGAACAAUGAUAACAAAGCAGAUUGAUCCAGACUUCCAGGGCUCUUUGUCAGUGAUCUCUUUGACAUGCUCCAGUUAAAGAGUGGAGAGCUUCUAGAAUCAUGGAAUGGUUUGGGUUGGAAGGGACAAUAAAGAUCAUUCAAUUCCACCCUCCUGCCAUGGAAGACCUUCCCUAGAUCAGGUUGCUCCAAACUUCAUCUAACCUGGCCUGUAACACUUGAUGUCAACAAGGAAUCAAGGCACAUAGAAAACAACUCAAAUUCCCAGAUAGCUGGAAUUUUUUGGAAGUAGAGGAAAAAGCUACAUGAGCCAGAGAGGCUUUGCCUGGAAAAAUAAUAAGUUUUUUCUGGGAAAAAAAAUGCCCAUUUGCCUGAGAGCUGAUCUUUUCCCCAAGGUCAACCCAAACGAGAGGAGAGGAGAGGAGAGGAGAACAGGGCUAAGGAGGAAAAUAUUUGCUCUGGAAAUAAGACAAAAAACCCAAGGGCUGUCAGAAAAAUAAGCUGGACAUUUAAAAACUUUCACUGUUGAUGCUACUGUACUCAUGGUCAUCCUUGCUGAAGCACAGUGAGGUACAUUCAAGGAUGGGGUGCACAGAUUAAGGUAAUACUGAUGAGGUUAGCCAAAGUCCAGGCUAGCUCCUUACUACCUGCCUGGAAAAUCACAGCAUCCAGAAGGAUGUUAUUUCUGUAGCUUUUCACCCUAAACAUUCAUUCCUUAUCUGUAAGCAAAGAUAAAAUCUCAUUUUAUUCUCCAAAGACUCAGGGAGGGAAUUCAUUAUUUUUUUUAUUUUUUUCACAAUGCUGGCCACAGUCCCAGAGUCAUCUCUGUUCAUGAUGAAGCACCUUGCUGAUUCUGUGUGAUGCUGCUAGGAUUCAGGGAUUUGAUAGAGAAGAUCCAGUUUCAGAGCUGAGGGAAGUAAUGAGGCGUG